RNAcentral lists this ribosomal RNA (363 nucleotides) under uncultured bacterium. RNAcentral describes it as "partial 16S ribosomal RNA". It matches the Rfam family "Bacterial small subunit ribosomal RNA", at positions 338 to 717 of the family's 1533-position model. The record is from RNAcentral.
CCUACGGGUGGCAGCAGUGGGGAAUAUUGGGCAAUGGGCGCAAGCCUGACCCAGCAACGCCGCGUGAGCGAUGAAGGUCUUCGGAUUGUAAAGCUCUGUCGCAGGGGACGAAGGAUGACGGGACCCUGUAAGAAAGCCCCGGCAAACUACGUGCCAGCAGCCGCGGUAAUACGGAGGGGGCUAGCGUGGUCCGGAAUUACUGGGCGUAAAGGGAGUGUAGACGGCUUGUCAAGUUAAGGGUGAAAGCCUGCGGCUUAACCGUAGAAUUGCACUUAAAACUGACUCGCUAGAGUGCAGGAGUGGUGAGUGGCAUUCCUCUUGUAGCGGUGGCAUGCUUAGAUCUUCGGCGGCACCCCAGCGGCG